This 72-nucleotide transfer RNA is filed under the name Globomyces pollinis-pini. Its description in RNAcentral is "tRNA-Thr". It matches the Rfam family "tRNA". From Rfam's summary of the family: Transfer RNA (tRNA) molecules are approximately 80 nucleotides in length. The record is from RNAcentral. Lineage: Eukaryota; Fungi; Chytridiomycota; Chytridiomycetes; Rhizophydiales; Globomycetaceae.
GCCUUCUUAGCUCAGUGGUAGAGCGCAUGCCUAGUAAGCAUGAGGCCGGGUGUUCAAUCCACCCAGAAGGCA